AGAUGUUUUGGAAGAAAACAGAUGAAGGGUGGACAGACCUAUAGAAAUGACCAGGAAAAAUGCUAGCAAUUACUUGGUGAAUGGUGUUCUACCCUGGCAUGAAGCUAUCACUGAUUUGCAUACAGCAUUGUUGGAGAUGAAGCCUGUGACAUCCAGAUCAUCAUCAACACUGGGAAUUCACACUGCUAACUACCUCCUUAUACAAACACACACUGCCACUUAUGGAUCAAAGGGAGUGUUGCCACUGCGGUUCUGAACUAUUAAAACACAUCACGCUUCUGGAAUUUUAAA
Odocoileus virginianus texanus is the source of this 291-nucleotide non-coding RNA. The record is from RefSeq and is a predicted model, not a curated record. Lineage: Eukaryota; Metazoa; Chordata; Mammalia; Artiodactyla; Cervidae.